UCCGGCUUAUCACCGGCAGUCCCUCUAGAGUGCCCAACUUAAUGAUGGCAACUAAAGGCGAGGGUUGCGCUCGUUGCGGGACUUAACCCAACAUCUCACGACACGAGCUGACGACAGCCAUGCACCACCUAUCACAGGCCCCGAAGGACACCGUAUCUCUACGGCUUUUCCUGCGUAGUUCAACCCAGGUAAGGUUCUUCGCGUUGCCUCGAAUUAAGCCACAUGCUCCGCCGCUUGUGCGGGCCCCCGUCAAUUCCUUUGGGUUUUAGCCUUGCGGCCGUACUCCCCAGGCGGGGAUGACGUAAGGAAUGUCGAUA
RNAcentral lists this unclassified non-coding RNA (317 nucleotides) under uncultured bacterium. RNAcentral's name for it is "contains 16S-23S intergenic spacer region". The record is from RNAcentral.